This 223-nucleotide unclassified non-coding RNA is filed under the name Hevea brasiliensis (rubber tree). The record is from RNAcentral. Lineage: Eukaryota; Viridiplantae; Streptophyta; Magnoliopsida; Malpighiales; Euphorbiaceae.
AAAUCUCCCGGGAACAGUGGGUGUUCCCCCAUAAAUGUGAUCUCAGCUUUCUGUCGUAUCAUCAUGUUUUUAGAGUAAGAUUCUUUGCAAAACUAGCUUAGGCAUACGACAAGAAACCAAACUGCUCGCUCAAUAAUCUUUCACUCAUCCCAUUGUCCCUUUAAUCCCGCCAUUAAACUGAUCCAAGAAAGUCUCUUUAUCUUUCUUAGCUUUCACAAGCAAU